Molecule: ribosomal RNA, 569 nt
Filed under: Halorubrum xinjiangense
Lineage: Archaea; Methanobacteriati; Methanobacteriota; Halobacteria; Halobacteriales; Haloferacaceae
Description: bacterial SSU rRNA
Rfam family: Archaeal small subunit ribosomal RNA
Source: RNAcentral
AAACCUUUACACUGCACGACAGUGCGAUAGGGGAUCCCAAGUGCACAGGCAUAGCGCCUGUGCUUUUCGGUACCGUAAGGUGGUACCAGAAUAAGGGCUGGGCAAGACCGGUGCCAGCCGCCGCGGUAAUACCGGCAGCCCAAGUGAUGGCCGAUCUUAUUGGGCCUAAAGCGUCCGUAGCUGGCCGCGCAAGUCCAUCGGGAAAUCCACCUGCUCAACAGGUGGGCGCCCGGUAGAAACUGCGUGGCUUGGGACCGGAAGGCGCGACGGGUACGUCCGGGGUAGGAGUGAAAUCCCGUAAUCCUGGACGGACCGCCGAUGGCGAAAGCACGUCGCGAGGACGGAUCCGACAGUGAGGGACGAAAGCCAGGGUCUCGAACCGGAUUAGAUACCCGGGUAGUCCUGGCCGUAAACAAUGUCUGCUAGGUGUGGCUCCCACUACGAGUGGGUGCUGUGCCGUAGGGAAGCCGCUAAGCAGACCGCCUGGGAAGUACGUCCGCAAGGAUGAAACUUAAAGGAAUUGGCGGGGGAGCACUACAACCGGAGGAGCCUGCGGUUUAAUUGGACUC